UGCGUGACAGAAUUCAUAAGAAAAAGUAUGAUAUAACAAUGUCUGAGAUUUCUGUCACGUACAG
This 64-nucleotide microRNA precursor is filed under the name Triops cancriformis. RNAcentral describes it as "microRNA tcf-mir-10329 precursor". Lineage: Eukaryota; Metazoa; Arthropoda; Branchiopoda; Notostraca; Triopsidae. The record is from miRBase by way of RNAcentral.